AUUGAACGCUGGCGGCAUGCUUUACACAUGCAAGUCGAACGGCAGCGCGGGCUUCGGCCUGGCGGCGAGUGGCGAACGGGUGAGUAAUGCAUCGGAACGUGCCCAGUAGUGGGGGAUAGUCCGGCGAAAGCCGGAUUAAUACCGCAUACGACCUGAGGGUGAAAGCGGGGGACCGAAAGGCCUCGCGCUAUUGGAGCGGCCGAUGUCGGAUUAGCUAGUUGGUGGGGUAAAGGCUUACCAAGGCGACGAUCCGUAGCUGGUCUGAGAGGACGACCAGCCACACUGGGACUGAGACACGGCCCAGACUCCUACGGGAGGCAGCAGUGGGGAAUUUUGGACAAUGGGGGCAACCCUGAUCCAGCCAUGCCGCGUGCGGGAAGAAGGCCUUCGGGUUGUAAACCGCUUUUGUUCGGGAAGAAAUCCUCUGGGCUAAUACCCCGGGGGGAUGACGGUACCGGAAGAAUAAGCACCGGCUAACUACGUG
RNAcentral lists this ribosomal RNA (484 nucleotides) under uncultured bacterium. Its description in RNAcentral is "partial 16S ribosomal RNA". It matches the Rfam family "Bacterial small subunit ribosomal RNA", at positions 28 to 507 of the family's 1533-position model. The record is from RNAcentral.